Molecule: small nuclear RNA, 105 nt
Organism: Ursus maritimus (polar bear)
Lineage: Eukaryota; Metazoa; Chordata; Mammalia; Carnivora; Ursidae
Source: Ensembl
GUGCUCACUUUGGCAGCACAUAUACUAAAAUUGGAACGAUGGAGAAGAUUAGCAUGGCCCCUGCGCAAGAAUGACAUGCAAAUUCAUGAAGCGUUCCAUAAUUUU